GUACCCUUAGUGCGCAUGAGUACCCUUAGUGCGCAUGAGUACCCUUAGUGCGCAUGAGUACCCUUAGUGCGCAUGAGUAUCCUUAGUGCGCAUGCAGAUUUAGUGCGCAUGCGUGUUCUUUGUACCCUGCGGCCAUGUUUAGGUAAGCCACCCCUGCGCAAGUUCGUUUAGCUGCGCCAAACUUACGGUGUAAGCGCGUGCGGGGCAGAUCUGAGGUUUUCCGGGGUACCCUUCAUUUACUGUCUUCCUAAUGCAAGAUGGCUAACUCUUUUCACUAGCAAAUAGCAAGUUACAGAAAGAUGUUGCCAAUCUUGUACUACAGAAUAAACUUCAGACAAACAAGAACUCAUUGGAGAAAUCUUAUCCCAGGGCCAAGAUGUCUACCCGCCUUCCCCUAAAUUCAUGUGUGGGAAUCCAAUCCCUCAGAAGUCUAUAAAAGAUUACAAUGGAAAUUUAUUGAUCUAAUACAUAAACACAAAUGUCCAAGGACUCUGAAAAAUAAAAAAGCACACAGAUUGAGAAGGGAUUCAAAACCUCAAGAAAGAGCAACAUAGCACUGAGGUGAUUUAUUUUGUCUUCUUUGUUUCUUUCCUAAAGCUUUGGCUCAAGGAUGGGCCUGAGUCCUGGAAGCAGAGCGUGUGGGGAAUCCCCAUUAACUGUUUGUUAGGUGUUGCUUUUUGUUUGUUUAUUUGUAUACCAACCCCAGAGAAGGAACUAUACUCUGGAAUGUCAAUGGCAGAACAGUCCCAACCAUCCCAAGGAAAAACUCAUAUUUCGGUGCUGAAAAAAAAAAACAAAAAAAAACAAAAAAAAACGGGUAAAAGGACCUUGUUGCUCCAGAGUAAAAGGAGAAAAUAAACCACCGCUAUUUUUCCCUCUUUUAUCUCCCUGCAUUACUACAAGGGAACUACAAAUAAUCAGACAGUAAAAGUAUAGUAAAAUAUAGUCAAAGCAUAGUACAUUUACAGAGAAUUGAGCUUACUAAUAUCAAUGCCAGCAAAUUAGUGUGGAAAAAAUAUUACUUUAUCCCUUUUAUAUAGAUAUUACAAUAGAAGAUUUCAACAUUGAGUCCACUCCCGCUGUCUUCAACAUUAUUCCUCUCGAAAUUCUCUUGUUAAUUGUGGUCAUAUAAAUAAUAUUGCCAGUAGUCUGGCAUCUAUAAUUUUAAUUCUGGUCACUCCAGUCUCUGAACAUCACAUGCGAUGGCUCCAGGUCACUUAAUUUGAUAUAUCAACACCUGAAAUCUAGAAGCCUAACAGAACCUUGCACGUAUCCUUCAUUCCUUUGUCUUCUUUAAAUCCAUUUUGCUACUCUGACCAAACAAAAAUCCAGUCUCGGGGUGUUCCAUGUCUGGACCCACAUAGCUGAUUACCUCCAGAGUACAAUACAAAGUCAUUGUAAUGGAGCCAAUUUAAAUUCAUACUAAUUGACCUAAGUGUACUCCUUAACACUUUACCAAAAGUUACUAGCCCCUUAACUGCCCUACUUCCCUUUUGGAUCCUAAUUCUUUUAUUAUCCCACUCUUCUUGAUACGGUUGAGAUUUUCUUUUUUCUUUCAAUCUCCACCAAACUGUUGCACAUUCUGAGCUUCCACUUUGACAGUGCCGUCCAUUUCCCUUACAAAUAAACAAGAAGACAACCUGUGGAUGCUCUAUUCACAGCAUCUGCCCACCUGUACCUAUAUAUACAUGACUAUUUUCUCCAUGCUAUCUAUAUUUCUACAAGAGUAUUUAACACUAUUUGUAUAUAAAAAUUGUAUCCUCCUUAUGCAACUCAAGCAUAUUGACAAUUUUUUAGUUCCUCUCUUGUAUCAUCAUUUUCUUCAUUCUAUAGGAAGCUUUCACAUAUUCAAUGAAAAGUUUUAUUAACUUUAAAAAUAAAUAAAAUAAGCUCAUGAACAGUUUUGACCUUUCUUUACUUGAUUUUUUUCUCCUUCCCUUUGCAAACAAAAAGCAAUAACCACAACCACAGUAAGAGCAAUAAAAAUCUUAUAGGUGCUAUCUAAGCUCACUUCCUCUAUUUUUUCUCUUAAUAUUCUUUUUUUUCUACCAGUACAAAUGAAGGUGGCACUUACAGCACUCCACUGAUACUGCUCUUAUUGAAGGUCAUUAGUGACAUCCACUGCUAUUAAACUAAUGGUUGUCUUGGUUUUCAUUAUUCUUGACCCAUCAGCUCUUUUAAACCCAGUUGAAGGUGAACAUUAAGACCUCACUGAUAAAUGAGCCUAAAUAAUGUCAUCAUAUAAUUUUUUGACUACUGUUCUUAUCAGCUGAAAUGUGCAAUAUCUUAUUUUGAUAAACUUGAUAAUGUGAUUCAAUAAGAAACAAAAUUAAUGUUACUUAAAAUAUCCUUGAAACAAAUGUUAAUGGAAUUAUGUAUUGUGAAUAUACAUAAAUAUUACUUGGUAUGCUAGUUCAUUAUUGAUUUUGUGCUCAAGGUACAUUGCUGACUAUUAAAUUUUUUGGACAGGAACUAAAGUAUUAAAAUAGCUUUUAGCUAUUUAAAAAUGUUCACUAUUAUCACCUGAAUAUCUUUUGCCACUAAGUCAAUAUAAUAGCAAAAAUGUAAGCUCCAAAACCAAAACAAAACAAUAUGUAUGUAUUACCCCGUUUAUGCUUUUGUGUAUAUUUGAAGUUAUUGCAAUUUUAAAAGACAAAAUUGUUGUAUACUUGAUGCCUGACUAGUACAUAUUCUCAAUUGAGCGAGAAAAUUUGAUUACUUCAAUUUAAAUUUAGCAUAUUCCCUGAGAUUUACUAAUGGUAAUUAUAUUGUUGUACCAGGUGUCUCCAGAGGAGAAUGAUGUUACUGGAAAGAUGAUAGUAGUUUACUUGUGCUGUUAGUAAUCUUUUCAUAGACUCCAGAUAAUAGUCUAUUAAUUGAUUGCUUUACAAUGGCACAAAUUUUGCUACAUAAUAAAGCCUCUGGAGUUCAAGAUUGUAAAAUUAAAAUCUAUUUUUAAUGUAAUAUUGGACAGUUUCAAAUCAGAAAAGUAUGUACAUAUCCAUGUAAUGAACUAUGUAAAAAAAUAUAUUACAUAGCUCUACAAGGGAAAUCACAAUUUUUUUCAUGGAUUUAUUUUACAGCUCACUUUUCUCAA
Callithrix jacchus (white-tufted-ear marmoset) is the source of this 3097-nucleotide long non-coding RNA. RefSeq lists it as uncharacterized. The record is from RefSeq and is a predicted model, not a curated record. NCBI's taxonomy places the organism in Eukaryota, Metazoa, Chordata, Mammalia, Primates, Cebidae.